RNAcentral lists this ribosomal RNA (445 nucleotides) under Arthrobacter sp. A2. Its description in RNAcentral is "bacterial SSU rRNA". It matches the Rfam family "Bacterial small subunit ribosomal RNA", at positions 340 to 797 of the family's 1533-position model. The record is from RNAcentral. Lineage: Bacteria; Bacillati; Actinomycetota; Actinomycetes; Micrococcales; Micrococcaceae.
UACGGGAGGCAGCAGUGGGGAAUAUUGCACAAUGGGCGCAAGCCUGAUGCAGCGACGCCGCGUGAGGGAUGACGGCCUUCGGGUUGUAAACCUCUUUCAGUAGGGAAGAAGCGAGAGUGACGGUACCUGCAGAAGAAGCGCCGGCUAACUACGUGCCAGCAGCCGCGGUAAUACGUAGGGCGCAAGCGUUAUCCGGAUUUAUUGGGCGUAAAGAGCUCGUAGGCGGUUUGUCGCGUCUGCCGUGAAAGUCCGAGGCUCAACCUCGGAUCUGCGGUGGGUACGGGCAGACUAGAGUGAUGUAGGGGAGACUGGAAUUCCUGGUGUAGCGGUGAAAUGCGCAGAUAUCAGGAGGAACACCGAUGGCGAAGGCAGGUCUCUGGGCAUUUACUGACGCUGAGGAGCGAAAGCAUGGGGAGCGAACAGGAUUAGAUACCCUGGUAGUCCA